AUUUUAAUAGCUUAAAUUUUAGAGUUUUGUAUUGAAGAUACAUUGGUGAAUUAUUUCUUAAAAUA
This 65-nucleotide transfer RNA is filed under the name Hiratettix distanti. RNAcentral describes it as "tRNA-Phe". Lineage: Eukaryota; Metazoa; Arthropoda; Insecta; Hemiptera; Cicadellidae. The record is from RNAcentral. RNAcentral also lists the same sequence under 2 other names.